RNAcentral lists this ribosomal RNA (254 nucleotides) under uncultured bacterium. RNAcentral's name for it is "partial 16S ribosomal RNA". It matches the Rfam family "Bacterial small subunit ribosomal RNA", at positions 524 to 776 of the family's 1533-position model. The record is from RNAcentral.
UACGGGGGGAGCAAGCGUUGUUCGGAUUUACUGGGCGUAAAGGGCGCGUAGGCGGCCACCGCAAGUCGACUGUGAAAUCUCCGGGCUUAACCCGGAAAGGUCAGCCGAUACUGCGGGGCUAGAGUGCAGAAGGGGCAACUGGAAUUCUCGGUGUAGCGGUGAAAUGCGUAGAUAUCGAGAGGAACACCUGCGGCGAAGGCGGGUUGCUGGGACGUUACUGACGCUGAGACGCGAAAGCGUGGGGAGCAAACAGG